AGUAAAAGUCGUAACAAGGUUUCCGUAGGUGAACCUGCGGAAGGAUCAUUACCGAGUGAGGGCCCUCUGGGUCCAACCUCCCACCCGUGUUUAUUUUACCUUGUUGCUUCGGCGGGCCCGCCUUAACUGGCCGCCGGGGGGCUUACGCCCCCGGGCCCGCGCCCGCCGAAGACACCCUCGAACUCUGUCUGAAGAUUGUAGUCUGAGUGAAAAUAUAAAUUAUUUAAAACUUUCAACAACGGAUCUCUUGGUUCCGGCAUCGAUGAAGAACGCAGCGAAAUGCGAUACGUAAUGUGAAUUGCAAAUUCAGUGAAUCAUCGAGUCUUUGAACGCACAUUGCGCCCCCUGGUAUUCCGGGGGGCAUGCCUGUCCGAGCGUCAUUUCUGCCCUCAAGCACGGCUUGUGUGUUGGACCCCGUCCUCCGAUCCCGGGGGACGGGCCCGAAAGGCAGCGGCGGCACCGCGUCCGGUCCUCGAGCGUAUGGGGCUUUGUCACCCGCUCUGUAGGCCCGGCCGGCGCUUGCCGAUCAACCCAAAUUUUUAUCCAGGUUGACCUCGGAUCAGGUAGGGAUACCCGCUGAACUUAAGCAUAUCAAUAAGCGGAGGA
RNAcentral lists this ribosomal RNA (606 nucleotides) under uncultured fungus. RNAcentral describes it as "eukaryotic LSU rRNA". The stretch from base 228 to 380 matches the Rfam family "5.8S ribosomal RNA". Lineage: Eukaryota; Fungi. The record is from RNAcentral.